RNAcentral lists this ribosomal RNA (432 nucleotides) under uncultured bacterium. Its description in RNAcentral is "partial 16S ribosomal RNA". It matches the Rfam family "Bacterial small subunit ribosomal RNA", at positions 29 to 506 of the family's 1533-position model. The record is from RNAcentral.
AACGAACGCUGGCGGCAUGCCUAACACAUGCCAGUCGAACGAGACCUUCGGGUCUAGUGGCGCACGGGUGCGUAACGCGUGGGAACCUGCCCUUAGGUUCGGAAUAACUCCCCGAAAGGGGUGCUAAUACCGGAUAAUGUCUUCGGACCAAAGAUUUAUCGCCUUUGGAUGGGCCCGCGUUGGAUUAGCUAGUUGGUAGGGUAAAAGCCUACCAAGGCGACGAUCCAUAGCUGGUCUGAGAGGAUGAUCAGCCACACUGGGACUGAGACACGGCCCAGACUCCUACGGGAGGCAGCAGUGGGGAAUAUUGGACAAUGGGCGAAAGCCUGAUCCAGCAAUGCCGCGUGAGUGAUGAAGGCCUUAGGGUUGUAAAGGUCUUUUACCCGGGAUGAUAAUGACAGUACCGGGAGAAUAAGCUCCGGCUAACUCCGU